CUGAGACAGACAACUACAAUUAAUGUAGACCUGGAAACUUUAUUGAGAGAGAGUUUAUAUUUCCGACUAACAUCAUCAGAAACUGGGAGGACAGAUAUCUUUUCAAAAUUGAAAUUACUCCGUUGAAGAUGCGAAGUUUUCCCUAUAGAUUCAAUGGUCCUCAGACACAAUUCAAAUUUAAAAAGUCUCUAGUCCUUAUUAGUAAGUCUUCAGUUCUUAAACACAUUCACUUUGUUAAUUCCCCUACGAUGUCAGUGAUCAAAGACCGAAUUACCCAAUAUGAAUUUCAGAGCGACUUGGCUACAUUGAUUUUUAGGCAUCUUCGAUUGUUGUCGAUUUGACAAGUCUUCGUUACCUUCUUUAUUAUUCUUCUGAACUCUUACAGUAGAAUUUUUUAUGUUCAGAGAAGCGGUCUUUUCCUUUCAAGGUUUGCUUCCGACUGCAUUGAAGAACUAGACUGAAUAACUUGUAUUUACCACUCUCUCUCAAAGUGAGCAACUUUACUCUUGGGAGCCAGGUGAUUGACAACUUCUGGAGUGGCUCUCAGACAUGUCUGGUCCAUUCAGUGACUCUUGAGCGACUCCCCAAUUAAUCACUGUCUUCUUACUAACAACUUGCUUUUUCCCCUUUUUUCGUUUUCCCUUGUUACAUACCAUAUUUCUCCU
This 665-nucleotide long non-coding RNA is filed under the name Androctonus crassicauda. Lineage: Eukaryota; Metazoa; Arthropoda; Arachnida; Scorpiones; Buthidae. The record is from RNAcentral.